UGGGGAAUAUUGCACAAUGGGCGCAAGCCUGAUGCAGCGACCCCCCGUGAGGGAUGGAGGCCUUCGGGUUGUAAACCACUUUUGACUGGGAGCAAGCCCUUCGGGGUGAGUGUACCUUUCGAAUAAGCACCGGCUAACUACGUGCCAGCAGCCGCGGUAAUACGUAGGGUGCAAGCGUUAUCCGGAAUUAUUGGGCGUAAAGGGCUCGUAGGCGGUUCGUCGCGUCCGGUGUGAAAGUCCAUCGCUUAACGGUGGAUCCGCGCCGGGUACGGGCGGGCUUGAGUGCGGUAGGGGAGACUGGAAUUCCCGGUGUAACGGUGGAAUGUGUAGAUAUCGGGAAGAACACCAAUGGCGAAGGCAGGUCUCUGGGCCGUCACUGACGCUGAGGAGCGAAGGCGUGGGGAGCGAACAGGAUUAGAUACCCUGGUAGUCCACGCCGUAAACGGUGGAUGCUGGAUGUGGGGACCAUUCCACGGUCUCCGUGUCGGAGCCAACGCGUUAAGCAUCCCGCCUGGGGAGUACGGCCGCAAGGCUAAAACUCAAAGAAAUUGACGGGGGCCCGCACAAGCGGCGGAGCAUGCGGAUUAAUUCGAUGCAACGCGAAGAACCUUACCUGGGCUUGACAUGUUCCCGACAGCCGUAGAGAUACGGUCUCCCUUCGGGGCGGGUUCACAGGUGGUGCAUGGUCGUCGUCAGCUCGUGUCGUGAGAUGUUGGGUUAAGUCCCGCAACGAGCGCAACCCUCGCCCUGUGUUGCCAGCACGUCGUGGUGGGAACUCACGGGGGACCGCCGGGGUCAACUCGGAGGAAGGUGGGGAUGACGUCAGAUCAUCAUGCCCCUUACGUCCAGGGCUUCACGCAUGCUACAAUGGCCGGUACAACGGGAUGCGACACCGCGAGGUGGAGCGGAUCCCUUAAAACCGGUCUCAGUUCGGAUUGGAGUCUGCAACCCGACUCCAUGAAGGCGGAGUCGCUAGUAAUCGCGGAUCAGCAACGCCGCGGUGAAUGCGUUCCC
Molecule: ribosomal RNA, 1014 nt
Filed under: uncultured bacterium
Lineage: Bacteria
Description: bacterial SSU rRNA
Rfam family: Bacterial small subunit ribosomal RNA
Source: RNAcentral